CUCCGAAAGGAGGAUUAAUACUUCGUAACCUUUGAGAGUGGCAUCACUUUCUUAGUAUAGCUCCGGCGGUUAUGGAUGAGCGUGCGGCUGAUUAGGUAGUUGGCGGGGUAACGGCCCACCAAGCCUGCGAUCAGUAACUGGUGUGAGAGCACGACCAGUCACACGGGCACUGAGACACGGGCCCGACUCCUACGGGAGGCAGCAGUAAGGAAUAUUGGUCAAUGGACGCAAGUCUGAACCAGCCAUGCCGCGUGAAGGAUGAAGGUCCUCUGGAUUGUAAACUUCUUUUAUAGGGGACGAAACCCGGGUAUUCUUACCCGAUUGACGGUACCCUAGGAAUAAGCACCGGCUAACUCCGUGCCAGCAGCCGCGGUAAUACGGAGGGUGCAAGCGUUAUCCGGAUUCACUGGGUUUAAAGGGUGCGUAGGAGGGCAGGUAAGUCCGUGGUGAAAUCUCUGAGCUUAACUCAGAAACUGCCGUGGAUACUAUCUGUCUUGAAUACCGUGGAGAUGAGCGGAAUAUGUCAUGUAGCGGUGAAAUGCUUAGAUAUGACAUAGAACACCAAUUGCGAUGCAGCUCGUUACACGAAUAUUGACUCUGAGCACGAAGCGUGGGGAUCAAACAGAUUAGAUACCCUGUA
RNAcentral lists this ribosomal RNA (640 nucleotides) under uncultured bacterium. RNAcentral's name for it is "bacterial SSU rRNA". It matches the Rfam family "Bacterial small subunit ribosomal RNA", at positions 149 to 791 of the family's 1533-position model. The record is from RNAcentral.